GAUCCUGGCUCAGGACGAACGCUGGCGGCGCGCCUAACACAUGCAAGUCGAACGAGCGAGAGAGAGCUUGCUUUCUCAAGCGAGUGGCGAACGGGUGAGUAACGCGUGAGGAACCUGCCUCAAAGGGGGGGACAACAGUUGGAAACGACUGCUAAUACCGCAUAAGCCCACAGGUCGGCAUCGACCAGAGGGAAAAGGAGCAAUCCGCUUUGAGAUGGCCUUGCGUCCGAUUAGCUAGUUGG
This 242-nucleotide ribosomal RNA is filed under the name uncultured bacterium. RNAcentral's name for it is "partial 16S ribosomal RNA". It matches the Rfam family "Bacterial small subunit ribosomal RNA", at positions 15 to 252 of the family's 1533-position model. The record is from RNAcentral.